GAAUACAAGCAAUACUGUUAAAUCAUUAAGUGUGAUUGUUUGUUCUUGUUUUACUGGCCAUAUAUAGGAAGGGCUUGGACUGGUUGGCAAGUCUUGCUAUGGAUACAACAUGCUCUUCAUCUCUAACACAGUAGAAUCUCACAUAUGUAUGUUACAGACAACAUAUUAUUAUACCAACUUGAAGCACUGGAGAAAGGAAACUGAUAAGAAACAAAUCAUCUACAGCUCUUAUUUCAUCACCAGCUAUAAGAAGAGUUUGGAAGAAAAACAUGUGUGGGUGUGCGCAUGUGUGUGCGCAUGUGGUAUUCAAAGAUAUGGUCAUCCACCUCUUGUUAUAUUCUGUGUAUAAUUGGUAUCCACAAGGCUGGUGGUUGCAGCACUGUGGAUAGCUCCCAGUGAGGAACUUUCUUUAAGGAGGGCUAGAGGUGAACUAUAAGACAUGACAAAUUUCUGCUUCAAUGUACAGUAGGAUAUUCUCAAGGCAUCAUCGUCUGUUCAAAGAAUUAAGACUUUUAAAAAGUGAAUGGCCAGGCCUGGAAGACAUUGAGCAGAGAUGGCAGCAUAGGAGAAUAGAAGUUACCUUCUAAGGUUCAGAGCUGGUGCUUAUGGGGGCCUAAUUUUAGUUCUUCACACUCCUUAGCAGAUUGGCUGUCUCUUCUGCCUCCAGAAUCAAGAUCAAGGUCUUGACACUGCAGUCUGAAAUGUCAAUCCAUUUUAGAGCACAUCUGGAAAAAUCUUUGACUUCAUACUAUUGUGUAUUCUCAGGAGCCCUGAGAUAAAAUAAUAAAUAUUUUCUUUUUAGGAUUACAAUAAAGGUCAAUUAAACAAAUAACAUAUAAGAUAGCCAGUAU
Molecule: long non-coding RNA, 851 nt
Organism: Protobothrops mucrosquamatus (brown spotted pit viper)
Lineage: Eukaryota; Metazoa; Chordata; Lepidosauria; Squamata; Viperidae
Exons: 3
Source: RefSeq, a predicted model, not a curated record